Molecule: ribosomal RNA, 818 nt
Filed under: Salmonella enterica
Lineage: Bacteria; Pseudomonadati; Pseudomonadota; Gammaproteobacteria; Enterobacterales; Enterobacteriaceae
Description: partial 23S ribosomal RNA
Rfam family: Bacterial large subunit ribosomal RNA
Source: RNAcentral
UGCUGUGAGCUCGAUGAGUAGGGCGGGACACGUGGUAUCCUGUCUGAAUAUGGGGGGACCAUCCUCCAAGGCUAAAUACUCCUGACUGACCGAUAGUGAACCAGUACCGUGAGGGAAAGGCGAAAAGAACCCCGGCGAGGGGAGUGAAAAAGAACCUGAAACCGUGUACGUACAAGCAGUGGGAGCACCCUUUGGGGUGUGACUGCGUACCUUUUGUAUAAUGGGUCAGCGACUUAUAUUCUGUAGCAAGGUUAACCGAAUAGGGGAGCCGGAGGGAAACCGAGUCUUAAUUGGGCGUUAAGUUGCAGGGUAUAGACCCGAAACCCGGUGAUCUAGCCAUGGGCAGGUUGAAGGUUGGGUAACACUAACUGGAGGACCGAACCGACUAAUGUUGAAAAAUUAGCGGAUGACCUGUGGCUGGGGGUGAAAGGCCAAUCAAACCGGGAGAUAGCUGGUUCUCCCCGAAAGCUAUUUAGGUAGCGCCUCGUGAAUUCAUCUCCGGGGGUAGAGCACUGUUUCGGCUAGGGGGCCAUCCCGGCUUACCAACCCGAUGCAAACUGCGAAUACCGGAGAAUGUUAUCACGGGAGACACACGGCGGGUGCUAACGUCCGUCGUGAAGAGGGAAACAACCCAGACCGCCAGCUAAGGUCCCAAAGUCAUGGUUAAGUGGGAAACGAUGUGGGAAGGCCCAGACAGCCAGGAUGUUGGCUUAGAAGCAGCCAUCAUUUAAAGAAAGCGUAAUAGCUCACUGGUCGAGUCGGCCUGCGCGGAAGAUGUAACGGGGCUAAACCAUGCACCGAAGCUGCGGCAGCGACGC